RNAcentral lists this transfer RNA (78 nucleotides) under Pantoea sp. RNAcentral describes it as "tRNA-Ile". It matches the Rfam family "tRNA". From Rfam's summary of the family: Transfer RNA (tRNA) molecules are approximately 80 nucleotides in length. Their secondary structure includes four short double-helical elements and three loops (D, anti-codon, and T loops). Lineage: Bacteria; Pseudomonadati; Pseudomonadota; Gammaproteobacteria; Enterobacterales; Erwiniaceae. The record is from RNAcentral.
AGGCUUGUAGCUCAGGUGGUUAGAGCGCACCCCUGAUAAGGGUGAGGUCGGUGGUUCAUAGUGCACUCAGGCUUACCA